AAGUAGGGGAUCGUAAGACCUUGCGCUUUUGGAGCGGCCGAUGUCUGAUUAGCUAGUUGGUGGGGUAAUGGCCUACCAAGGCUACGAUCAGUAGCUGGUCUGAGAGGACGGCCAGCCACACUGGGACUGAGACACGGCCCAGACUCCUACGGGAGGCAGCAGUGGGGAAUUUUGGACAAUGGGCGGAAGCCUGAUCCAGCAAUGCCGCGUGAGUGAAGAAGGCCUUCGGGUUGUAAAGCUCUUUCAGUCGAGAAGAAAAGGUUGCGACUAAUAAUCGCAACUUAUGACGGUAUCGACAGAAGAAGCACCGGCUAACUACGUGCCAGCAGCCGCGGUAAUACGUAGGGUGCGAGCGUUAAUCGGAAUUACUGGGCGUAAAGGGUGCGCAGGCGGCUCUGUAAGUCAGAUGUGAAAUCCCCGGGCUUAACCUGGGAAUUGCGUUUGAAACUACAUAGCUAGAGU
This 462-nucleotide ribosomal RNA is filed under the name uncultured ammonia-oxidizing beta proteobacterium. RNAcentral's name for it is "bacterial SSU rRNA". It matches the Rfam family "Bacterial small subunit ribosomal RNA", at positions 202 to 647 of the family's 1533-position model. The record is from RNAcentral. Lineage: Bacteria; Pseudomonadati; Pseudomonadota; Betaproteobacteria.